GUGGCUCAGGACAGGGAAAUCAUCCUCCUGGUACUCACUGUCAUCAACCUCAGACUCCACUGAGCUGCAGAGACUCAGGCGGCGCUUUGAGUCCUUCACUGUGAUGAUCUGCAGGAGGGCAGAGGAUGCCACAAAACUGAGGAUUUAGAAAAACACGCCGCUGUUGACAGACACUCUCCACGUAUCUGAGCACGCUCCACCCUAUCAGAGAUUUAGGAUCAGUCAGGACUGAGGAGUGGAGAGAAUACCUCACAUUCAGUCAGAUUGGCCUGAGAGUGUUCAUCAAAAGAAAAAUGGGCUCCUGUACCCAAAACACAGAGCUCAGACUGCUGAGCAGCCACGGCACUCGUAACCGGAUUCCUGCACUGGGAGCUUACUGGCGAGUGGUCUAUAUGGAACAAGGCAACAAAGAAAAGUUACUGCGUAGUUACAUGAUGAUUAGUGGUUAUGCAGCAGAAAUGAACCAAAGUACUUAAAGG
This is a long non-coding RNA of Girardinichthys multiradiatus, 479 nucleotides long. RefSeq lists it as uncharacterized. NCBI's taxonomy places the organism in Eukaryota, Metazoa, Chordata, Actinopteri, Cyprinodontiformes, Goodeidae. The transcript is spliced from 4 exons. The record is from RefSeq and is a predicted model, not a curated record.